CAAAAAAGUCCUGCGCGCGUAUCUGUCAAAUGUACGGUUAAAGGGUUAUUCCGCAUUUUUUGCCGAUACGCACACAUUGGAAUUUCGCUAACUCCUCCGAAGGCUUUCGUUCCACUGGCACCACAUUUGCUCAGGCCAAUCUACACCCCAUGGCCAUUAAAAGUUAUUCAAAUCAUGACGCUGCAUCCCAUGGUUUAGGUUCUAGGGGGCGCCAAAAAUAACCCAAAAAUCCACAUUCUUAAAUGUUUUAUAACUUUUUUUUUUGUCCUCACUGGCCUCCAAGUUUUCUAGGAUGAUGCAAUGUCCAGCCAUCAACACAUUUGUGAAGGAAUUUUUACUCCCCAAAAGAGCGCCCCCCCAUGGUAGGAGAAAAAAGUCAAUUUUUUCUUGUCCCCUUACAUGAAAAUACACAUUGUUGAGUGUCACGCCUGAACCUAUGUCAUAUUGACACAAAAAUUGAGAAUCAUGUGUAUCUCAAUUAGAUCUAUGAAAAAGUCAAAGAGCGCGUAUCUGUAUAAUGUACGGUUAAAGGGCUAUUUUGCAUUUUUUGCCGAUUCGCACACAUUGGAAUGUGGCUAUCUCCUCCUAAGGCUUUCGUCCCACCGAUACCAAAUUUGCUCAGGGCAAUCUACACCCCAUGCCCAUUCAAAGUUGUAAAAAUCAUGAUGCUGCACCCCACGGUUUACGUUCUAGGGGGCGCCAAAGAUGACCCAAAAAUCCACAUUCUUAAAAGUCAUUUUGGCCACUGCAGGAGUACAGAGUACUGCAGUUCUAGGGGGCGCCAAAGAUGACCCAAAAAUCCACAUUCUUAAAAGUCUUUUUGGCCACUGCAGGAGUACAGAGUACUGCAGGAUACACACACAUAUACACACACGCCAACACACACACACACACACACACACACACACACACACACACACACAGAGUCUGUUUUUUAGCACCUGCAAAAACAAGCUGUUUACAUAUUUGACAAGAAUGCAGAGGCUUCCUUUUGCCCCUGAAAAAAAUCAAAUUUCAAACACAACUUGACUGUUCAUUUCUCCAAAAGACAACCAUGAAGCUCCAUCCAAACCUGAAGCAGAUAGUUGGUGCAUGUGUACAGUAACCUGAGGGGAGUGAGGUGACUAUUUCUGAGGAGAACAUGAGCAGUGAAGAUUCACCUUGGAGCUAGAACAGGGACGUGCACAUGAUUAUACAGGGGCAGGGGCUCAAGUUUUUUCCAGUCAUUUAUACAAUAUGGAAAUUAAUGUGAAAUUAAACCACAAAUAUAUGUGAUGAACUGUUUUUAAAACUUAAACUUCAAAUAAAAAUUGUAAACUUCAAAACAUAUGCAAAUUUUUAACAAAGAACAUAGUAAUUUACCUCUAUUUACAUCAAAAUGCAGGCAAUGGCCCAGGCGUUCUUUGUAAAAUUAUUUACAAAACACUGUAUAGUCUCACAAAUGUCACUUUUUAUUUAUGCCACUACAAAAAAACAUGAUGUAAAUGAUGCAUGAUGUAAAACAUGAUGUAAAAAACUUGUGUAGAUCCUCCUCUAUGUCAGUCCAUGUGUAAUCUUUCCAUAAUUCUUUGUUUUUUGCAGCAUUUUUGUUAGUGUAACUGCAGAUUGUGCUGACAGUGUCUAUGGCAAAAAAAAAAAAAAAACUGAAAAUGCCUCAACAUGAACCCCUGGUGGUCUCUGAGGGUGAAACCUGCUAACUGCUGCAGCUCUGUCAGCUUUAGUCUCCCAUGCAGAGCUCGGAGCGCAUGUGUGGCUCUGCACCCUUAGCAGCGUUGCUAACUCCUCAGUAAGGAAAGCCUGCUUCAUGUCAGAGUCUCUAAACUCCAGAAGAAGUCGAUAAAAGUCCCUUUCUUUCUAAAAAAAAGUCGUUAGGGGGUCUGAAAAGUCAUUGAAUCUAACAACAAAGUCGCUAGGUUUGCAACUACGUGUCCCAGACUGCAUCCCUGCUGAGAGUUCCUCCCUCCCUUCUCAUGUUGCAGGAAGAACGUAAGCGCCCCCUUGUCAAUCAGUCACCAUAUAAUUUUGGAUUGGUUGUUGUGGUGAAGUUUUCCACCAAUAGGAGAGAUGUUGUGGUGUGUUUUUUUUUUUCUUUGGCAAGCCUUUUCCGCCUGUAAGACCUGUCGCUAAUGUCUGCAUGCUAUGUUUUCCUGUCUCAUACAGCGCGAUCGAGCGCCGAACGUGAUCAAAAUAAGCAGAAAAAAAGUAUCGCGGACAUAAUUUAUCAUAACUCUGGUUUUAUUUGGCCUAUCAACACAAUUUGAAAACUGGUGUAUAGUUUGAGGUCCUCACUUUUGAGAUAAGUUGAAACGGAGAGUCAACGAGGCUCCGUCUUGCUGCUACAUCCGGUUAAAUAUGUAAUGUGACUUGAACGCACACACAGACACACACACACACACACACACACACACACACACACACUCAGAGUCUGGUUUUUAGCACCUGCAAAAACAUGCUAUUUACAUAUUUGACAAGAAUGCAGAGGCUCCUUUUGCCCCUGAAAAAAAUCAAAUUUCAAACACAACUUGACUGGUCAUUUCUCCAAAAGACAACCAUGAAGCUCCAUCCAAACCUGAAGCAGGCAGUUGGUGCAUGUGUACAGUAACCUGAGGGGAGUGAGGUGAGUGCUUCUGAGGAGAACAUGAGCAGUGAAGAUUCACCUUGGAGCUAGAACAGAGACAUGCACAUGAUUAUACAGGGGCAGGGGCUCAAGUUUUUUCCAGUCGUUUAUACAAUAUGGAAAUUAAUGUGAAAUUAAAACACAAAGUAUUAAUAGAAAGGUAAUGACUGUCCUGUGUAGGUGACAGUGAUAUCCAAUAGGCUAGGCACUCACGAGGCUGGCUGUGGCAAGUGUAAGUGAAAGCAACACGCACUGGCAGGAAGAACAGCAAACGCCGAUGAAGGAAAAGGGUCUUUGCAGUGAUGGGCGUUACCAGAGAGGGCGAUGGCCAGAGGACACAAAUGGGACGGGGAGGCAGCACGUUGGGGGGGGGGGACACGGCUCGGGCCCGCCAGUGCCCCAACGGGGUCCUAGUUAGGGCCCGAGCCAGCUGCAGAGCAGCCGGGCGUAGGCCCUAUUAUUCCCCAAGUGGUUUUUCUUUGUUUCUUUCUUUCUUUUUUCUUUUUCCUCCCCUUUGAACUGGAAAAUGGCCCACUUCCCACUGGCGAAAACUCAUGAAAUUUGGCAGGACCACCGGGCCUGGUGAAAAAUUCGAUAUUCUGAAGUCGCCAAAACAAUAAAAUGCAAAAUGGCUCCAUAGCGCCCCCUAAGGUGGAAAUUCACACUAUUGACUGUCACGACUGUACGCUUUGUCAUAUUGACACAAAAAUUGACACACAUAUGUAUCUCAAUAAGAUCUACAAAAAAGUCAGUGCGGCCGUAUCUGUCAAAUGUACGGUUAAAGGGUUAUUUCGCAUUUUUUUCCGAUCCGCACACAUUGGAAUUUCGCUAACUCCUCCGAAGGCUUUCGUUCCACCGGCACCACAUUUGCUCAGGCCAAUCUACACCCCGUGGCCAUUAAAAGUUAUCAAAAUCAUGACGCUGCACCCCAAGGUUUAGGUUCUAGGGGGCGCCAAAGAUAACACUAAAAUCCACAUAUUUAAAAGUCUUAUAACUUUUUAUUUUUGUCCUCACUGGCCUCCAAGUUUUCUAGGAUGAUGCAAUGUCCAGCCAUCAACACAUUUGUGAAGGAAUUUUUACUCCCCAAAAGAGCGCCCCCCCAUGGCAGGAGAAAAAAGUCCAUUUUUUCUUGUCCCCUAAGGUGAAAAUACACAUUGUUGAGUGUCACGCCUAUACGCUUUGUCAAAAUGACACAAAAAUUGACACACACAUGUAACUCAAUAAGAUCUACGAAAAAGUCAAUGCGCGCGUAUCUGUCAAAUGUACGGUUAAAGGGUUAUUCCGCAUUUUUUGCCGAUCCGCACACAUUGGAAUUUCGCUAACUCCUCCGAAGGCUUUCUGUCCACCGGCACCACAUUUGCUCAGGCCAAUCUACACCCCAUGGCCAUUAAAAGUUAUUCAAAUCAUGACGCUGCACCCCACGAUUUAGGUUCUAGGGGGCGCCAAAGACAACCCUAAAAUCCACAUAUUUAAAAGUCUUAUAACUUUUUAUUUUUGUCCUCUCUGGCCUCCAAGUUUUCUAGGAUGAUGCAAUGUCCAGCCAUCAACACAUUUAUGAAGGAAUUUUUACUCCCCAAAAGAGCGCCCCCCCAUGGCAGGAGAAAAAAGUCCAUUUUUUCUUGUCCCCUAAGGUGAAAAUACAUAUUGUUGAGAUUCACGCCUAUACGCUUUGUCAUAUUGACACAAAAUUUGACAAUCACGUGCCUUGCCUGGUAUCAUUUUUUUCAGCACAACCUCACCUGUGCGAAUUUACAGUUAUUUUAUCAUGUUGACAUACUGAAUUUACACAAUGGACCCAAAUUCACACACAAAACAUAAAAUCCGAGUGGAAAAAAGUAACAUUUUUACUGUGAAAACCACAAAUAUGUGUGAUGAACUGUUUUUAAAACUUAAACUUCAAAUAAAAAUUGUAAACUUCAAAACAUAUGCAAAUUUUUAACAAAGAACAUAGUGAUUUACCUCUAUUUACAUCAAAAUGCAGGCAAUGGCCCAGGCGUUCUUUGUAAAAUUAUUUACAAAACACUGUAUAGUCUCACAAAUGUCACUUUUUAUUUAUGCCACUACAAAAAAACAUGAUGUAAAUGAUGCAUGAUGUAAAACAUGAUGUAAAAAACUUGUGUAGAUCCUCCUCUAUGUCAGUCCAUGUGUAAUUUUUCCAUAAUUCUUUGUUUUUUGCAGCAUUUUUGUUAGUGUAACUGCAGAUUGUGCUGACAGUGUCUAUGGCACAAAAAAAAAAAAAAUUUAAAAUGCCUCAACAUGAACCCCUGGUGGUCUCUGAGGGUGAAACCUGCUAACUGCUGCAGCUCUGUCAGCUUCAGUCUCCCAUGCAGAGCUCUGAGCGCAUGUGUGGCUCUGCACCCUUAGCAGCGUUGCUAACUCCUCAGUAAGGAAAGCCUGCUUCAUGUCAGAGUCUCUAAACUCCAGAAGAAGUCGAUAAAAGUCCCUUUCUUUCUAAAAAAAAGUCGUUAGGGGGUCUGAAAAGUCAUUGAAUCUAACAACAAAGUCGCUAGGUUUGCAACUACGUGUCCCAGACUGCAUCCCUGCUGAGAGUCCCUCCCUCCCUUCUCAUGUUGCAGGAAGAACGUAAGCGCCCUCCCCUUGUCAAUCAGUCACCAUAUAAUUUUGGAUUGGUUGUUGUGGUGAAGUUUUCCACCAAUAGGAGAGAUGUUGUGGUGUGUUUUUUUUUUCUUUUGGCAAGCCUUUUCCGCCUGUAAGACCUGUCGCUAAUGUCUGCAUGCUAUGUUUUCCUGUCUCAUACAGCGCGAUCGAGCGCCGAACGUGAUCAAAAUAAGCAGAAAAAAAGUAUCGCGGACAUAAUUUAUCAUAACUCUGGUUUUAUUUGGCCUAUCAACACAAUUUAAAAACUGGUAUAUAGGUUGAGGUCCUCACUUUUGAGAUAAGUUGAAACGGAGAGUCAACGAGGCUCCGUCUUGCAGCUACAUCCGGUUAAAUAUGUCAUGUGACUUGAACGCACACACAGACACACACACACGCACACACACACACACACACACACACACACACACACACACACACACACACACACUCAGAGUCUGGUUUUUAGCACCUGCAAAAACAUGCUAUUUACAUAUUUGACAAGAAUGCAGAGGCUCCUUUUGCCCCUGAAAAAAUCAAAUUUCAAACACAACUUGACUGGUCAUUUCUCCAAAAGACAACCAUGAAGCUCCAUCCAAACCUGAAGCAGGCAGUUGGUGCAUGUGUACAGUAACCUGAGGGGAGUGAGGUGAGUGCUUCUGAGGAGAACAUGAGCAGUGAAGAUUCACCUUGGAGCUAGAACAGAGACAUGCACAUGAUUAUACAGGGGCAGGGGCUCAAGUUUUUUCCAGUCGUUUAUACAAUAUGGAAAUUAAUGUGAAAUUAAAACACAAAGUAUUAAUAGAAAGGUAAUGACUGUCCUGUGUAGGUGACAGUGAUAUCCAAUAGGCUAGGCACUCACGAGGCUGGCUGUGGCAAGUGUAAGUGAAAGCAACACGCACUGGCAGGAAGAACAGCAAACGCCGAUGAAGGAAAAGGGUCUUUGCAGUGAUGGGCGUUACAAGAGAGGGCGAUGGCCAGAGGACACAAAUGGGACGGGGAGGCAGCACGUUGGGGGGGGGGGGGGGGGGGGGCGACACGGCUCGGGCCCGCCAGUGCCCCAACGGGGUCCUAGUUAGGGCCCGAGCGUAGCUGCUAAGCAGCUGCGAGAGCCCUCUUGUUCCUGUAGUUUCCUUCUUUUGUUAUUAUUAGGGCCCGAGCCAGCUGCAGAGCAGCCGGGCGUAGGCCCUAUUAUUCCCCAAGUGGUUUUUCUUUGUUUCUUUCUUUCUUUCUUUCUUUCUUUCUUUCUUCUUUUUCCUCCCCUUUGAACUGGAAAAUGGCCCACUUCCCACUGGCGAAAACUCAUGAAAUUUGGCAGGACCACCGGGCCUGGUGAAAAAUUCGAUAUUCUGAAGUCGCCCAAACAAUAAAAUGCAAAAUGGCUCCAUAGCGCCCCCUAAGGUGGAAAUUCACACUAUUGACUGUCACGCCUGUACGCUUUGUCAUAUUGACACAAAAAUUGACACACAUAUGUAUCUCAAUAAGAUCUACAAAAAAGUCAGUGCGGCCGUAUCUGUCAAAUGUACGGUUAAAGGGUUAUUUCGCAUUGUUUUCCGAUCCGCACACAUUGGAAUUUCGCUAACUCCUCCGAAGGCUUUCGUUCCACCGGCACCACAUUUGCUCAGGCCAAUCUACACCCCGUGGCCAUUAAAAGUUAUCAAAAUCAUGACGCUGCACCCCAAGGUUUAGGUUCUAGGGGGCGCCAAAGAUAACACUAAAAUCCACAUAUUUAAAAGUCUUAUAACUUUUUAUUUUUGUCCUCACUGGCCUCCAAGUUUUCUAGGAUGAUGCAAUGUCCAGCCAUCAACACAUUUGUGAAGGAAUUUUUACUCCCCAAAAGAGCGCCCCCCCAUGGCAGGAGAAAAAAGUCCAUUUUUUCUUGUCCCCUAAGGUGAAAAUACACAUUGUUGAGUGUCACGCCUAUACGCUUUGUCAAAAUGACACAAAAAUUGACACACACAUGUAACUCAAUAAGAUCUACGAAAAAGUCAAUGCGCGCGUAUCUGUCAAAUGUACGGUUAAAGGGUUAUUCCGCAUUUUUUGCCGAUCCGCACACAUUGGAAUGUGGCUAACUCCUCCUAAGGCUUUCGUUCCACCGGCACCACAUUUGCUCAGGCCAAUCUACACCCCAUGGCCAUUAAAAGUUAUUCAAAUCAUGACGCUGCACCCCACGGUUUAGGUUCUAGGGGGCGCCAAAGAUAACACUUAAAUCCACAUAUUUAAAAGUCUUAUAACUUUUUAUUUUUGUCCUCACUGGCCUCCAAGUUUUCUAGGAUGAUGCAAUGUCCAGCCAUCAACACAUUUGUGAAGGAAUUUUUACUCCCCAAAAGAGCGUCCCCCCCAUGGCAGGAGAAAAAAGUCCAUUUUUUCUUGUCCCCUAAGGUGAAAAUACAUAUUGUUGAGUGCCACGCCUGUACGCUUUGUCAUAUUGACACAAAAUUUGACAAUCACGUGUGUCUCAAUAACAUCUACGAAAAAGUCAAUGCACGCGUAUCUGUAAAAUGUACGGUUAAAGGGCUAUUUUGCAUUUUUUGCCGAUUCGCACACAUUGGAAUGUGGCUAACUCCUCCUAAGGCUUUCGUCCCACUGACACCAAAUUUGCUCAGGCCAAUCUACACCCCAUGGCCAUUCAAAGUUGUAAAAAUCAUGACGCUGCACCCCACGGUUUACGUUCUAGGGGGCGCCAAAGAUGACCCAAAUAUCCACAUUCUUAAAAGAAUCCACCCCCCCCCCAUCCCCCAUCCCCCAUGGCAGGAGAAACAGUCAAGUUUUUCCUGCCCAUCUCUCAAUGGCUCAAUCGCAUCACUCUCCCGGCAACACCGUAACGAGGAGCAACUUGCCGUUUGGAUAUAUCCUAGCUGUGUUUGUGCCCUCACUCAUGGUCCAGACUUUUUUCAAAUAGGACAUGUAGUUUGUCUGCAGCGAGUGUUUUGGUAGAAACUGCGCCUCCCAUUUAUUAUAAUGGGAAAUGACCACAGACAAGUGCGCACACCAUCUUUGGACCUUGAGUGUGACGCGAUCGGGGGGGGGAGGCGGUCGCGCUGGGGGCGGCGCGACGCGGCUCGGGCCCGACAGUGCCCCACCGGGGCCCUAGUUAUUAUUUUUCCUCCCCUUUGAACUGGAAAAUGGCCCACUUCCCACUGGCGAAAACUCAUGAAAUUUGGCAGGACGACCGGGCCUGGUGAAAAAUUUGAUAUUCCGAAGUCGCCCAAACAAGAAAAUGCAAAAUGGCUCCAUAGCGCCCCCUAAGGUGAAAAUUCACACUAUUGACUGUCACGCCUGUACGCUUUGUCAAAAUGACACAAAAAUUGACACACACAUGUAUCUCAAUAAGAUCUACAAAAAAGUCAGUGCGGGCGUAUCUGUCAAAUGUACGGUUAAAGGGUUAUUUCGCAUUUUUUGCCGAUCCGCACACAUUGGAAUUUCGCUAACUCCUCCGAAGGCUUUCGUUCCACCGGCACCACAUUUGCUCAGGCCAAUCUACACCCCAUGGUCAUUAAAAGUUAUUCAAAUCAUGACGCUGCACCCCACGGUUUAGGUUCUAGGGGGCGCCAAAGAUAACCCUAAAAUCCACAUAUUUAAAAGUCUUAUAACUUUUUAUUUUUGCCCUCACUGGCCUCCAAGUUUUCUAGGAUGAUGCAAUGUCCAGCCAUCAACACAUUUGUGAAGGAAUUUUUACUCCCCAAAAGAGCGCCCCCCCAUGGCAGGAGAAAAAAGUCCAUUUUUUCUUGUCCCCUAAGGUGAAAAUACACAUUGUUGAGUGUCACGCCUGUACGCUUUGUCAAAAUGACACAAAAAUUGACACACACAUGUAUCUCAAUAAGAUCUACAAAAAAGUCCAUGAGCGCGUAUCUGUAUAAUGUACGGUUAAAGGGCUAUUUUGCAUUUUUUGCCGAUUCGCACACAUUGGAAUGUGGCUAUCUCCUCCUAAGGCUUUCGUCCCACUGAUACCAAAUUUGCUCAGGGCAAUCUACACCCCAUGCCCAUUCAAAGUUGUAAAAAUCAUGACGCUGCACCCCACGGUUUACGUUCUAGGGGGCGCCAAAGAUGACCCAAAAAUCCACAUUCUUAAAAGUCAUUUUGGCCACUGCAGGAGUACAGAGUACUGCAGUUCUAGGGGGCGCCAAAGAUGACCCAAAAAUCCACAUUCUUAAAAGUCUUUUUGGCCACUGCAGGAGUACAGAGUACUGCAGGAUACACACACAUAUACACACACGCCAACAUACACACACACACACACACACACACACACACACACACACACACACACACACACACACACACACACACACACACUCAGAGUCUGUUUUUUAGCACCUGCAAAAACAUGCUGUUUACAUAUUUGACAAGAAUGCAGAGGCUUCCUUUUGCCCCUGAAAAAAAUCAAAUUUCAAACACAACUUGACUGUUCAUUUCUCCAAAAGACAACCAUGAAGCUCCAUCCAAACCUGAAGCAGAUAGUUGGUGCAUGUGUACAGUAACCUGAGGGGAGUGAGGUGACUAUUUCUGAGGAGAACAUGAGCAGUGAAGAUUCACCUUGGAGCUAGAACAGGGACGUGCACAUGAUUAUACAGGGGCAGGGGCUCAAGUUUUUUCCAGUCAUUUAUACAAUAUGGAAAUUAAUGUGAAAUUAAACCACAAAUAAGUGUGAUGAACUGUUUUUAAAACUUAAACUUCAAAUAAAAAUUGUAAACUUCAAAACAUAUGCAAAUUUUUAACAAAGAACAUAGUAAUUUACCUCUAUUUACAUCAAAAUGCAGGCAAUGGCCCAGGCGUUCUUUGUAAAAUUAUUUACAAAACACUGUAUAGUCUCACAAAUGUCACUUUUUAUUUAUGCCACUACAAAAAAACAUGAUGUAAAUGAUGCAUGAUGUAAAACAUGAUGUAAAAAACUUGUGUAGAUCCUCCUCUAUGUCAGUCCAUGUGUAAUUUUUCCAUAAUUCUUUGUUUUUUGCAGCAUUUUUGUUAGUGUAACUGCAGAUUGUGCUGACAGUGUCUAUGGCACAAAAAAAAAAAAAAAAAUUAAAAUGCCUCAACAUGAACCCCUGGUGGUCUCUGAGGGUGAAACCUGCUAACUGCUGCAGCUCUGUCAGCUUCAGUCUCCCAUGCAGAGCUCUGAGCGCAUGUGUGGCUCUGCACCCUUAGCAGCGUUGCUAACUCCUCAGUAAGGAAAGCCUGCUUCAUGUCAGAGUCUCUAAACUCCAGAAGAAGUCGAUAAAAGUCCCUUUCUUUCUAAAAAAAAGUCGUUAGGGGGUCUGAAAAGUCAUUGAAUCUAACAACAAAGUCGCUAGGUUUGCAACUACGUGUCCCAGACUGCAUCCCUGCUGAGAGUCCCUCCCUCGCUUCUCAUGUUGCAGGAAGAACGUAAGCGCCCCCCUUGUCAAUCAGUCACCAUAUAAUUUUGGAUUGGUUGUUGUGGUGAAGUUUUCCACCAAUAGGAGAGAUGUUGUGGUGUGUUUUUUUUUUCUUUUGGCAAGCCUUUUCCGCCUGUAAGACCUGUCGCUAAUGUCUGCAUGCUAUGUUUUCCUGUCUCAUACAGCGCGAUCGAGCGCCGAACGUGAUCAAAAUAAGCAGAAAAAAAGUAUCGCGGACAUAAUUUAUCAUAACUCUGGUUUUAUUUGGCCUAUCAAGACAAUUUAAAAACUGGUAUAUAGGUUGAGGUCCUCACUUUUGAGAUAAGUUGAAACGGAGAGUCAACGAGGCUCCGUCUUGCAGCUACAUCCGGUUAAAUAUGUCAUGUGACUUGAACGCACACACAGACACACACACACGCACACACACACACACACACACUCACACACACACACACACACACACUCAGAGUCUGGUUUUUAGCACCUGCAAAAACAUGCUAUUUACAUAUUUGACAAGAAUGCAGAGGCUCCUUUUGCCCCUGAAAAAAAUCAAAUUUCAAACACAACUUGACUGGUCAUUUCUCCAAAAGACAACCAUGAAGCUCCAUCCAAACCUGAAGCAGGCAGUUGGUGCAUGUGUACAGUAACCUGAGGGGAGUGAGGUGAGUGCUUCUGAGGAGAACAUGAGCAGUGAAGAUUCACCUUGGAGCUAGAACAGAGACAUGCACAUGAUUAUACAGGGGCAGGGGCUCAAGUUUUUUCCAGUCGUUUAUACAAUAUGGAAAUUAAUGUGAAAUUAAAACACAAAGUAUUAAUAGAAAGGUAAUGACUGUCCUGUGUAGGUGACAGUGAUAUCCAAUAGGCUAGGCACUCACGAGGCUGGCUGUGGCAAGUGUAAGUGAAAGCAACACGCACUGGCAGGAAGAACAGCAAACGCCGAUGAAGGAAAAGGGUCUUUGCAGUGAUGGGCGUUACCAAAGAGGGCGAUGGCCAGAGGACACAAAUGGGACGGGGAGGCAGCACGUUGGGGGGGGGACGCGACACGGCUCGGGCCCGCCAGUGCCCCAACGGGGUCCUAGUUUUUCUUUUUCCUCCCCUUUGAACUGGAAAAUUGCCCACUUCCCACUGGCGAAAACUCAGGAAAUUUGGCAGGACGACCGGGCCUGGUGAAAAAUUCGAUAUUCUGAAGUCGCCCAAACAAUAAAAUGCAAAAUGGCUCCAUAGCGCCCCCUAAGGUGAAAAUUCACAUGACGGCUGUACGCUUUGUCAUAUUGACACAAAAAUUGACACACAUAUGUAUCUCAAUAAGAUCUACAAAAAAGUCAAUGCGGGCGUAUUUGUCAAAUGUACGGUUAAAGGGUUAUUUCGCAUUUUUUGCCGAUCCGCACACAUUGGAAUUUCGCUAACUCCUCCGAAGGCUUUCGUUCCACCGGCACCACAUUUGCUCAGGCCAAUCUACACCCCAUGGCCAUUAAAAGUUAUUCAAAUCAUGACGCUGCACCCCACGGUUUAGGUUCUAGGGGGCGCCAAAAAUAACCCUAAAAUCCACAUAUUUAAAAGUCUUAUAACUUUUUAUUUUUGUCCUCACUGGCCUCCAAGUUUUCUAGGAUGAUGCAAUGUCCAGCCAUCAACACAUCUGUGAAGGAAUUUUUACUCGCCAAAAGAGCGCCCCCCCAUGGCAGGAGAAAAAAGUCCAUUUUUUCUUGUCCCCUAAGGUGAAAAUACACAUUGUUGAGUGUCACGCCUGUACGCUUUGGCAAAAUGACACAAAAAUUGACACACACAUGUAUCUCAAUAAGAUCUACGAAAAAGUCAAUGCGCGCGUAUCUGUCAAAUGUACAGUUAAAGGGUUAUUCCGCAUUUUUUGCCGAUACGCACACAUUGGAAUUUCGCUAACUCCUCUGAAGGCUUUCGUUCCACUGGCACCACAUUUGCUCAGGCCAAUCUACACCCCAUGGCCAUUAAAAUUUAUUCAAAUCAUGAUGCUGCACCCCAUGGUUUAGGUUCUAGGGGGCGCCAAAAAUAACCCAAAAAUCCACAUUCUUAAAUGUUUUAUAACUUUUUUUUUUUGUCCUCACUGGCCUCCAAGUUUUCUAGGAUGAUGCAAUGUCCAGCCAUCAACACAUUUGUGAAGGAAUUUUUACUCCCCAAAAGAGCGCCCCCCCCAUGGUAGGAGAAAAAAGUCAAUUUUUUCUUGUCCCCUUACAUGAAAAUACACAUUGUUUAGUGUCACGCCUGAAC
This is a non-coding RNA of Xyrichtys novacula (pearly razorfish), 12807 nucleotides long. Lineage: Eukaryota; Metazoa; Chordata; Actinopteri; Labriformes; Labridae. The record is from the annotation of a GenBank genome assembly.